GGUUUGUGGCUCAGAGGUAGAGCUCCCGCCUAGCAUGUGUGAGGUGCUGGGUUUGAUCCUCAGCACCA
This 68-nucleotide transfer RNA is filed under the name Marmota monax (woodchuck). Its description in RNAcentral is "tRNA.Ala". Lineage: Eukaryota; Metazoa; Chordata; Mammalia; Rodentia; Sciuridae. The record is from RNAcentral.